GACGAACGCUGGCGGCGUGCUUAACACAUGCAAGUCGAACGGAAAGGCCCUGCUUUUGUGGGGUGCUCGAGUGGCGAACGGGUGAGUAACACGUGAGUAACCUGCCCUUGACUUUGGGAUAACUUCAGGAAACUGGGGCUAAUACCGGAUAGGAGCUCCUGCUGCAUGGUGGGGGUUGGAAAGUUUCGGCGGUUGGGGCUGGACUCGCGGCUUAUCAGCUUGAUGGUGGGGUAGUGGCUUACCAAGGCUUUGACGGGUAGCCGGCCUGAGAGGGUGACCGGCCACAUUGGGACUGAGAGACGGCCCAGACUCCUACGGGAGGCAGCAGUGGGGAAUAUGGCACAAUGGGCGGAAGCCUGAUGCAGCAACGCCGCGUGCGGGAUGACGGCCUUCGGGUUGUAAACCGCUUUCGCCUGUGACGAAGCGUGAGUGACGGUAAUGGGUAAAGAAGCACCGGCUAACUACGUG
RNAcentral lists this ribosomal RNA (468 nucleotides) under uncultured bacterium. RNAcentral describes it as "partial 16S ribosomal RNA". It matches the Rfam family "Bacterial small subunit ribosomal RNA", at positions 28 to 507 of the family's 1533-position model. The record is from RNAcentral.